CGCGGCCUAUCAGCUUGUUGGUGAGGUAAUGGCUCACCAAGGCUUCGACGGGUAGCCGGCCUGAGAGGGCGACCGGCCACACUGGGACUGAGAUACGGCCCAGACUCCUACGGGAGGCAGCAGUGGGGAAUAUUGCACAAUGGGCGCAAGCCUGAUGCAGCAACGCCGCGUGCGGGAUGACGGCCUUCGGGUUGUAAACCGCUUUCAGUAGGGACGAAGCUAACGUGACGGUACCUACAGAAGAAGGACCGGCUAACUACGAGCCAGCAGCCGCGGUGAUACGUAGGGUCCGAGCGUUGUCCGGAAUUAUUGGGCGUAAAGGGCUUGUAGGCGGUCCGUCGCGUCAGGAGUGAAAACUCGGGGCUUAACCCCGAGCCUGCUUUUGAUACGGGCGGACUAGAGGGAUGCAGGGGAGAACGGAAUUCCUGGUGGAGCGGUGGAAUGCGCAGAUAUCAGGAGGAACACCGGUGGCGAAGGCGGUUCUCUGGGCAUCACCUGACGCUGAGAAGCGAAAGCGUGGGGAGCAAACAGGCUUAGAUACCCUGGUAGUCCACGCCGUAAACGGUGGGCACUAGGUGUGGGGGACAUUCCACGUUCUCCGUGCCGAAGCUAACGCAUUAAGUGCCCCGCCUGGGGAGUACGG
RNAcentral lists this ribosomal RNA (643 nucleotides) under uncultured bacterium. RNAcentral describes it as "bacterial SSU rRNA". It matches the Rfam family "Bacterial small subunit ribosomal RNA", at positions 232 to 885 of the family's 1533-position model. The record is from RNAcentral.